RNAcentral lists this ribosomal RNA (214 nucleotides) under uncultured bacterium. Its description in RNAcentral is "partial 16S ribosomal RNA". It matches the Rfam family "Bacterial small subunit ribosomal RNA", at positions 1286 to 1500 of the family's 1533-position model. The record is from RNAcentral.
UCUCAGUUCGGAUUGUAGUCUGCAACUCGACUACAUGAAGCUGGAAUCGCUAGUAAUCGCGAAUCAGAAUGUCGCGGUGAAUACGUUCCCGGGUCUUGUACACACCGCCCGUCACACCAUGGGAGUCGGUAACGCCCGAAGCCAGUGACCCAACAUUAAGAGGGAGCUGUCGAAGGCGGGACUGAUAACUGGGGUGAAGUCGUAACAAGGUACC